RNAcentral lists this ribosomal RNA (3800 nucleotides) under Drosophila serrata. RNAcentral describes it as "eukaryotic LSU rRNA". The stretch from base 557 to 3250 matches the Rfam family "Eukaryotic large subunit ribosomal RNA". Lineage: Eukaryota; Metazoa; Arthropoda; Insecta; Diptera; Drosophilidae. The record is from RNAcentral.
AAAACUCUAAGCGGUGGAUCACUCGGCUCAUGGUCGAUGAAGAACGCAGCAAACUGUGCGUCAUCGUGUGAACUGCAGGACACAUGAACAUCGACAUUUUGAACGCAUAUCGCAGUCCAUGCUGUUAUGUACUUUAAUUAAUUUUAAAGUGCUGCUUGGACUACAUAUGGUUGAGGGUUGUAAGACUAUGCAAAAUAAGUUGUUCAUAAUUUCAUUUCAUGAUUUUAUAAGCACAUGGUAUAUUAUUGGGUAUAAUAAUUAUUAAUUGUUAUAUUCAUAAUAUUAAAAAUUAUAUGAAAAACAUUAUCUCACAUUGUUGUAAAUAUUUGAAUGUGAAAACGAAGAGAAAUAUUUUCUUUUUUUUAAAUCAAUAAUAUGAGAAAUGUCUAGCAUAAAAAUGUAAAAUAUUUUUCAUCUAGAAUUGUCUCUAUUAAUGAUGCAAAAAAUCGAAAAAUGUUGCUAAUGUAUUAUUCUUCGUUUGGUUGUUAAAAAAUAACAAUUUAAAUAUAUAAUGUUUUCUCUAUAUAAAAAGAAUUAAUGCUAAUAAAUGUUUAUACAACCUCAACUCAUAUGGGACUACCCCCUGAAUUUAAGCAAUUAAUUAGGGGAGGAAAGAACUAACAAGGAUUUCUUAGUAGCGGCGAGCGAAAAGAAAUCAGUUCAGCACUAAGUCACUUGUCUAUAUGGCAAAUGUGAGAUGCAGUGUAUGGAGCGUCAAUAUUCUAGUAUGAGAAAUUAACGAUUUAAGUCCUUCUUAAAUGAGGCAUUACCCAUAGAGGGUGCCAGGCCCGUAUAACGUUAAUGAUUACUAGAUGAUGUUUCCAAGAGUCGUGUUGCUUGAUAGUGCAGCACUAAGUGGGUGGUAAACUCCAUCUAAAACUAAAUAUAACCAUGAGACCGAUAGUAAACAAGUACCGUGAGGGAAAGUUGAAAAGAACUCUGAAUAAGAGUUAAACAGUACGUGAAACUGCUUAGAGGUUAAGCCCGAUGAACCUGAAUAUCCGUAUGGAAAAUUCAUCAUUAGACUGUAGUAUUUAAACAAUAUUAUGAUAAUAGUGUGCAUUUUUUCCAUAUAAGGACAUUGUAAUCUAUUAACAUAACUAAAUUUAUCAUAAAAUAUGGCUUAUAGUUUAUUCAAAUUAUAUGCUUGCAUUUUAACAUAGAAUAAAUGUCAUUAUUUGAUAAAGUGCUGAUAGAUUUAUAUGACUACAGUGCGUUAAUUUUUCGGAAUUAAUAAUGGCAUAAUUAUCAUUGAUUUUGUGUUUAUUAUAGCACUUGUACGAUAACAAUGCGAAAGAUCAGGAUACCUUCGGGACCCGUCUUGAAACACGGACCAAGGAGUCUAACAUAUGUGCAAGUUAUUGGGAUAUAACCUAAUAGCGUAAUUAACUGACUAAUAAUGGGAUUAGUUUUUUAACUAUUUAUAGCUAAUUAACAAUCCCGGGGCGUUCUAUAUAGUUAUGUAUAAUAAUAUUAUAUUAUUUAUGCCUCUAACUGGAACGUACCUUGAGCAGAUAUGCUGUGACCCGAAAGAUGGUGAACUAUACUUGAUCAGGUUGAAGUCAGGGGAAACCCUGAUGGAAGACCGAAACAGUUCGACGUGCAAAUCGAUUGUCAGAAUGAGUAUAGGGGCGAAAGACCAAUCGAACCAUCUAGUAGCUGGUUCCUCCGAAGUUUCCCUCAGGAUAGCUGGUGCAUUUAAUGUUAUAAAAUAAUCUUAUCUGGUAAAGCGAAUGAUUAGAGGCCUUAGGGUCGAAACGAUCUUAACCUAUUCUCAAACUUUAAAUGGGUAAGAACCUUAACUUUCUUGAUAUGAAGUUUAAGGUUAUGAUAUAAUGUGCCCAGUGGGCCACUUUUGGUAAGCAGAACUGGCGCUGUGGGAUAACCAAACGUAAUGUUACGGUGCCCAAUUAACAACUCAUGCAGAUACCAUGAAAGGCGUUGGUUGCUUAAAACAGCAGGACGGUGAUCAUGGAAUCGAAAUCCGCUAAGGAGUGUGUAACAACUCACCUGCCGAAGCAACUAGCCCUUAAAUGGAUGGCGCUUAAGUUGUAUACCUAUACAUACCGCUAAAGUAAUAUUUAAUAUGUAAUAAAUUUGAAACUUUGGAGGAAGUACAUGGUGCGUAAAGUGUUGGUAAGCCUGCAUGGAGCGCCAUUGGACAGUUGGGUAGCAAAUAACAAUGAGACCUUGGAGACUGAAGUGAGAAGGUUUCGUGUGAACAGUGGUUGAUCACGAGUUAGUCGUCCUAAGUUCAAGGCAAAGCCGAAAAUUUUCAAGUAAUAAAAGACUAUAUAUUACAAAAAGCCAAUAAUAACUUGAAUAAUUUGAACGAAAGGGAAUACGGUUCCAAUUCCGUAACCUGUUGAGUAUCCGUUUGUUAUUAAAUAUGGGCCUCGUGCUCAUCCUGGCAACAGGAACGACCAUAAAGAAGCCGUCGAGAGAUAUCGGAAGAGUUUUCUUUUCUGUUUUAUAGCGUACUACCAUGGAAGUCUUUCGCAGAGAGAUAUGGUAGAUGGGCUAGAAGAGCAUGACAUAUACUGUUGUGUCGAUAUUUUCUCCUCGGACCUUGAAAAUUUAUGGUGGGGAUACGCAAACUUCUCAACAGGCCGUACCAAUAUCCGCAGCUGGUCUCCAAGGUGAAGAGUCUCUAGUCGAUAGAAUAAUGUAGGUAAGGGAAGUCGGCAAAUUAGAUCCGUAACUUCGGGAUAAGGAUUGGCUCUGAAGAUUGAGAUAGUCGGGCUUGAUUGGGAAACAAUAACAUGGUUUAUGUGCUCGUUCUGGGUAAAUAGAGUUUCUAUCAUUUAUGUUAGUUGCUUGUUCCCCGGAUAGUUUAGUUACGUAGCCAAUUGUGGAACUUUCUUGCUAAAAUUUUUAAGAAUACUAGUUGGGUCAAACCAAUUAGUUCUUAUUAAUUAUAACGAUUAUCAAUUAACAAUCAAUUCAGAACUGGCACGGACUUGGGGAAUCCGACUGUCUAAUUAAAACAAAGCAUUGUGAUGGCCUAGCGGGUGUUGACACAAUGUGAUUUCUGCCCAGUGCUCUGAAUGUCAAAGUGAAGAAAUUCAAGUAAGCGCGGGUCAACGGCGGAGUAACUAUGACUCUCUUUAAGGAAGAUGGAGCUCUUUAUCAGGGUGUGGAUCCUUGGAGCUCCGGGUCUGGUUGUAUGCAGAAGGGGUGAAAUUCCGAAAUUCAUUAGUCAUGCAAUCAGAUCAAGUCGACUCGAAACCUCCUCGUGGUAUCUUCCGGUACUAAGCAGUUAUCUGUUUAGUAGCAGAUUCGAGCGGCGAAGUGUUCUCUGGGGUACCAGCCCCUUUGAACGUAUCCAUAUGGUAUCAAUGAUAAUACAGAGCCUCGAGACCUACAUCUGUGGUAAUUAGCCUAGAUGACCAUAUUGGAACAAGUGCUGGAAAUAACCCGUCUACUACGGUUACCUGCACGAUAUGUGGAAGGCACUUUAGCAGCAAAAUAGGGCUAGGUGUCCACAUGUCACGUCUUCACAAAAACGAGUUUGAUGAACUUCGUCGGCGUGAGACGUAAAUCUAAGAUGGAGUGAGGAAGAGAAGUGGAUGAUGGCGAGAAAGGAGUUCGAACUCGCAGCAGUGGUAUCUUAAGGCAUGCCAAUAAGCAACUAGCGGAAUUUUUUACACACCGCAGCGUCGAAGCUAUCAAGAAAAUUCGACAGAGGGUGACUAUAAGGCAAAAAUGGAACAGAUAAGAGGGCAAUCUGUUUCCACCCCAGAGUUGCAGAUACAAGAACCACACAGCGCCGCCCUAGUAAUAGCGAGCAAGAACACCGA